This 439-nucleotide ribosomal RNA is filed under the name uncultured bacterium. RNAcentral's name for it is "bacterial SSU rRNA". It matches the Rfam family "Bacterial small subunit ribosomal RNA", at positions 29 to 511 of the family's 1533-position model. The record is from RNAcentral.
AAUGAACGCUGGCGGCAGGCCUAAACAUGCAAGUCGAACGCUGUAGCAAUACAGAGUGGCGCACGGGUGAGUAACAUGUGGGAAUAUGCCUAUUGGUACGGAACAACGUUUGGAAACGAACGCUAAUACCGUAUGGUCCCUUCGGGGUAAAGAUUUAUCGCCAAUAGAUUAGCCCGCACUAGAUUAGCUAGUUGGUGAGGUAAGAGCUCACCAAGCCGACGAUCGGUAGCUGGUCUGAGAGGAUGAUCAGCCACACUGGGACUGAGAUACGGCCCAGACUCCUACGGGAGGCAGCAGUGGGGAAUAUUGGACAAUGGGGGCAACCCUGAUCCAGCAAUGCCGCGUGAGUGAUGAAGGCCUUAGGGUUGUAAAGCUUCUUUUGCCAGGGAAGAUGAUGACUGUACCUGGAGAAUAAGCCCCGGCUAAACUUCGUAGCCAG